RNAcentral lists this ribosomal RNA (207 nucleotides) under uncultured bacterium. RNAcentral's name for it is "partial 16S ribosomal RNA". It matches the Rfam family "Bacterial small subunit ribosomal RNA", at positions 568 to 774 of the family's 1533-position model. The record is from RNAcentral.
CGCGCAGGCGGCCCCUUAAGUCAGGCGUGAAAGCCCGGGGCUAAACUCCGGAAGGGCGUCUGAAACUAAGGAGCUUGAGUACGGGAGAGGGAAGUGGAAUUCCUGGUGUAGAGGUGAAAUUCGUAGAUAUCAGGAGGAACACCGGUGGCGAAGGCGACUUCCUGGACCGAUACUGACGCUGAGGCGCGAAAGCGUGGGGAGCGAACA